GGGGGUAUAGUUCAGUGGUAGAGCAUGUGCUUAGUAUGUGUAAGGUCCUGGGUUCAAUCCCCAGUAAUUCCA
This 72-nucleotide transfer RNA is filed under the name Camelus bactrianus (Bactrian camel). It matches the Rfam family "tRNA". Rfam says of the family: Transfer RNA (tRNA) molecules are approximately 80 nucleotides in length. Their secondary structure includes four short double-helical elements and three loops (D, anti-codon, and T loops). Lineage: Eukaryota; Metazoa; Chordata; Mammalia; Artiodactyla; Camelidae. The record is from Rfam by way of RNAcentral. RNAcentral also lists the same sequence under 1 other name.